RNAcentral lists this ribosomal RNA (429 nucleotides) under Chloroflexota bacterium. RNAcentral describes it as "Chloroflexi bacterium partial 16S ribosomal RNA". It matches the Rfam family "Bacterial small subunit ribosomal RNA", at positions 355 to 776 of the family's 1533-position model. The record is from RNAcentral. Lineage: Bacteria; Bacillati; Chloroflexota.
UGGGGAAUAUUGCACAAUGGGCGCAAGCCUGAUGCAGCCAUGCCGCGUGUGUGAAGAAGGCCUUCGGGUUGUAAAGCACUUUCAGCGGGGAGGAAGGCGAUAAGGUUAAUAACCUUGUCGAUUGACGUUACCCGCAGAAGAAGCACCGGCUAACUCCGUGCCAGCAGCCGCGGUAAUACGGAGGGUGCAAGCGUUAAUCGGAAUUACUGGGCGUAAAGCGCACGCAGGCGGUCUGUCAAGUCGGAUGUGAAAUCCCCGGGCUCAACCUGGGAACUGCAUUCGAAACUGGCAGGCUAGAGUCUUGUAGAGGGGGGUAGAAUUCCAGGUGUCGCGGUGAAAUGCGUAGAGAUCUGGAGGAAUACCGGUGGCGAAGGCGGCCCCCUGGACAAAGACUGACGCUCAGGUGCGAAAGCGUGGGGAGCAAACAGG